This 1906-nucleotide ribosomal RNA is filed under the name marine metagenome. RNAcentral's name for it is "bacterial LSU rRNA". It matches the Rfam family "Bacterial large subunit ribosomal RNA", at positions 586 to 2478 of the family's 2925-position model. The record is from RNAcentral.
UUGUUCUGUGACUGCGUACCUUUUGUAUAAUGGGUCAGCGACUUACUUCUCAGUAGCAAGGUUAACCAUUAGGGGAGCCGUAGGGAAACCGAGUCUUAAAUGGGCGUUUAGUUGCUGGGAGUAGACCCGAAACCGGGUGAUCUAUCCAUGGCCAGGGUGAAGGUUAGAGUAACAUCGACUGGAGGCGCGAACCCACUUAUGUUGAAAAAUGAGGGGAUGAGCUGUGGAUAGGGGUGAAAGGCCAAACAAACCCGGAGAUAGCUGGUUCUCUCCGAAAUCUAUUUAGGUAGAGCGUCAUGUAUUACUUCUGGGGGUAGAGCACUGUUAUGGCUAGCGGGUUGUCAAGACUUAGUAAACCAUUGCAAACUCCGAAUACCAGAAAGUAUGAGCAUGGCAGACACACUGCGGGUGCUAACGUCCGUAGUGGAAAGGGAAACAACCCAGACCGUCAGCUAAGGUCCCAAAAUUAUAGUUAAGUGGGAAACGAUGUGAAAAGGCAUAGACAGCCAGGAGGUUGGCUUAGAAGCAGCCAUUCCUUUAAAGAGUGCGUAAUAGCUCACUGGUCGAGUCGGUUUGCGCGGAAGAUUUAACGGGGCUAAACUAUAUACCGAAGCUGCGGAUCGCAAUUUAUUGCGAUGGUAGGAGAGCGUUCUGUAAGCCGUUGAAGGCAAACUGUGAGGUUUGCUGGAGGUAUCAGAAGUGCGAAUGCUGACAUGAGUAACGAUAAAGGGGGUGAAAAACCCCCUCGCCAGAAGUCCAAGGUUUCCUACGCAACGUUAAUCGGCGUAGGGUUAGUCGGCCCCUAAGGCGAGGCAGAAAUGCGUAGUCGAUGGGAAACGGGUUAAUAUUCCCGUACUUCAUAUAACUGCGAUGGGAAGACGGAGAAGGUUAGCUCAGCAAGGCGAUGGUUGUCCUUGUUCAAGCGUGUAGAAAUGGUUUUUAGGAAAAUCCGGGAACCUCUAUUUCAAGGCGUGAUAACGAUCCCUCUUUUGGGAGAAGUGAGUAAUACCAUGCUUCCAGGAAAAUCCUCUAAGCUCUAGGUUAUAUGAAACCGUACCCCAAACCGACACAGGUGGACGAGAUGAGAAUUCUAAGGCGCUUGAGAGAACUCGGGUGAAGGAACUAGGCAAAAUGACACCGUAACUUCGGGAGAAGGUGUACUCUUGUUAUGUGAAAUCACUCGCUGAUAGAGCAGAAAAGAGUUGAAAAUACUAGGUGGCUGCGACUGUUUAUUAAAAACACAGCACUCUGCAAACACGUAAGUGGACGUAUAGGGUGUGACUCCUGCCCGGUGCUUGAAGGUUAAUUGAUGAGGUUAGCGCUUGCGCGAAGCUUUUGAUCGAAGCCCAAGUAAACGGCGGCCGUAACUAUAACGGUCCUAAGGUAGCGAAAUUCCUUGUCGGGUAAGUUCCGACCUGCACGAAUGGAGUAACGACGGCCACACUGUCUCCACCCGAGACUCAGUGAAAUUGAAAUUGCUGUUAAGAUGCAGUAUACCCGCGGCCAGACGGAAAGACCCCGUGCACCUUUACUACAGCUUUGCAUUGAACUCUGAUCCUACUUGUGUAGGAUAGGUGGGAGGCUUUGAAGCUUUAACGCUAGUUAGAGUGGAGCCAUCCUUGAAAUACCACCCUGGUAUGGUUGGGGUUCUAACCUAGGUCCGUAAUCCGGAUCGGGAACAAUGCAUGGUGGGUAGUUUGACUGGGGCGGUCUCCUCCCAAAGAGUAACGGAGGAGCGCAAAGGUAUCCUCAGCACGGUCGGACAUCGUGCAAUGAGCGCAAAGGUAAAAGGAUGCUUGACUGCGAGACUGACACGUCGAGCAGGUAGGAAACUAGGUCUUAGUGAUCCGGUGGUUCUGAGUGGAAGGACCAUCGCUCAACGGAUAAAAGGUACGCCGGGGAUAAC